RNAcentral lists this ribosomal RNA (397 nucleotides) under uncultured bacterium. Its description in RNAcentral is "partial 16S ribosomal RNA". It matches the Rfam family "Bacterial small subunit ribosomal RNA", at positions 523 to 918 of the family's 1533-position model. The record is from RNAcentral.
AUACGUAGGGGGCGAGCGUUGUCCGGAAUGAUUGGGCGUAAAGGGCGCGUAGGCGGCCCGGUAAGUCUGGAGUGAAAGUCCUGUUUUUAAGAUGGGAAUUGCUUUGGAUACUGUCGGGCUUGAGUGCAGGAGAGGUAAGUGGAAUUCCCAGUGUAGCGGUGAAAUGCGUAGAGAUUGGGAGGAACACCAGUGGCGAAGGCGACUUACUGGACUGGAACGGACGCUGAGGCGCGAAAGUGUGGGGAGCAAACAGGAUUAGAUACCCUGGUAGUCCACACCGUAAACGAUGGGUACUAGGUGGGGGAGGUAUCGACUCCUUCCGUGCCGGAGUUAACGCAAUAAGUACCCCGCCUGGGGAGUACGGCCGCAAGGCUUAAACUCAAAGGAAUUGACGGGG